This 84-nucleotide ribosomal RNA is filed under the name uncultured bacterium. Its description in RNAcentral is "partial 16S ribosomal RNA". The record is from RNAcentral.
UAAGGGGGGUAACGGGUACGAGAGGUCGUAAACCCCCCCACAUUGGUACUGAGACACGGACCAAACUCCUACGGAAGGCAGCAG